GAAACCAACAGGGAUUGCCCCAGUAACGGCGAGUGAAGCGGCAAGAGCUCAAAUUUGAAAUCUGGCCUCCCCCGGGGGCCCGAGUUGUAAUUUGCAGAGGAUGCUUCGGGUGCGGCCGCCGUCUAAGUUCCUUGGAACAGGACGUCAGAGAGGGUGAGAAUCCCGUCUUGGGCGGGCGGUCCGCGCCCGUGUGAAGCUCCUUCGACGAGUCGAGUUGUUUGGGAAUGCAGCUCUAAGCGGGUGGUAAAUUUCAUCUAAAGCUAAAUAUUGGCCGGAGACCGAUAGCGCACAAGUAGAGUGAUCGAAAGGUUAAAAGCACCUUGAAAAGGGAGUUAAACAGCACGUGAAAUUGUUGAAAGGGAAGCGCUUGCGGCCAGACUCGGGGGCGGGGUUCAGCGGGUGCUCGUCGCCCGUGUAUUCCUCGUCUCCCGGGCCAGCAUCAGUUUCGACGGCCGGUCAAAGGCCCCCGGAAUGUGUCGUCUCUCGGGACGUCUUAUAGCCGGGGGUGCAAUGCGGCCCGUCGGGACUGAGGAACGCGCUCCGGCUCGGAUGCUGGCGUAAUGGCCGUAAGCGGCCCGUCUUGAAACACGGACCAAGGAGUCUAACAUCCACGCGAGUGUUCGGGUGUCAAACCCGUGCGCGCAGUGAAAGCGAACGGAGGUGGGAGCCUUAGGGCGCACCAUCGACCGAUCCUGAAGUCUUCGGAUGGAUUUGAGUAGGAGCGUGGCCGUUGGGACCCGAAAGAUGGUGAACUAUGCCUGAAUAGGGUGAAGCCAGAGGAAACUCUGGUGGAGGCUCGCAGCGGUUCUGACGUGCAAAUCGAUCGUCAAAUUUGGGCAUAGGGGCGAAAGACUAAUCGAACCAUCUAGUAGCUGGUUCCUGCCGAAGUUUCCCUCAGGAUAGCAGUGACGAGAUUCCAGUUUUAUGAGGUAAAGCGAAUGAUUA
Molecule: ribosomal RNA, 945 nt
Filed under: Trichophyton krajdenii
Lineage: Eukaryota; Fungi; Ascomycota; Eurotiomycetes; Onygenales; Arthrodermataceae
Description: eukaryotic LSU rRNA
Rfam family: Eukaryotic large subunit ribosomal RNA
Source: RNAcentral